Molecule: microRNA, 21 nt
Filed under: Lotus japonicus
Lineage: Eukaryota; Viridiplantae; Streptophyta; Magnoliopsida; Fabales; Fabaceae
Description: lja-miR477-3p
Gene: lja-miR477-3p
Source: miRBase by way of RNAcentral
UGAAGUUCUUAGGGAGAGUGG